Molecule: ribosomal RNA, 1013 nt
Filed under: Pseudomonas syringae
Lineage: Bacteria; Pseudomonadati; Pseudomonadota; Gammaproteobacteria; Pseudomonadales; Pseudomonadaceae
Also listed under: 1 other name
Description: bacterial LSU rRNA
Rfam family: Bacterial large subunit ribosomal RNA
Source: RNAcentral
CUUAUUUUCAGUGGCGAGCUUAACCGAAUAGGGGAGGCGUAGCGAAAGCGAGUCUUAAUAGGGCGUCUAGUCGCUGGGAAUAGCCCCGAAACCGGGCGAUCUAUCCAUGGGCAGGUUGAAGGUUGGGUAACACUAACUGGAGGACCGAACCGACUACCGUUGAAAAGUUAGCGGAUGACCUGUGGAUCGGAGUGAAAGGCUAAUCAAGCUCGGAGAUAGCUGGUUCUCCUCGAAAGCUAUUUAGGUAGCGCCUCAUGUAUCACUGUAGGGGGUAGAGCACUGUUUCGGCUAGGGGGUCAUCCCGACUUACCAAACCGAUGCAAACUCCGAAUACCUACAAGUGCCGAGCAUGGGAGACACACGGCGGGUGCUAACGUCCGUCAUGAAAAGGGAAACAACCCAGACCGUCAGCUAAGGUCCCAAAGUCAUGGUUAAGUGGGAAACGAUGUGGGAAGGCUUAGACAGCUAGGAGGUUGGCUUAGAAGCAGCCACCCUUUAAAGAAAGCGUAAUAGCUCACUAGUCGAGUCGGCCUGCGCGGAAGAUGUAACGGGGCUCAAACCAUGCACCGAAGCUACGGGUAUCAUCUUAUGAUGAUGCGGUAGAGGAGCGUUCUGUAAGCCUGUGAAGGGGAGUUGAGAAGCUUGCUGGAGGUAUCAGAAGUGCGAAUGCUGACAUGAGUAACGACAAUGGGUGUGAAAAACACCCACGCCGAAAGACCAAGGUUUCCUGCGCAACGUUAAUCGACGCAGGGUUAGUCGGUCCCUAAGGCGAGGCUGAAAAGCGUAGUCGAUGGAAAACAGGUUAAUAUUCCUGUACUUCUGGUUAUUGCGAUGGAGGGACGGAGAAGGCUAGGCCAGCCUGGCGUUGGUAGUCCAGGUUUAAGGUUAUUGCGAUGGAGGGACGGAGAAGGCUAGGCCAGCCUGGCGUUGGUAGUCCAGGUUUAAGGUGGUAGGCUGAGAUCUUAGGUAAAUCCGGGAUCUUAAGGCCGAGAGCUGAUGACGAGUGUUCUUUU